Molecule: non-coding RNA, 110 nt
Organism: Acanthosepion pharaonis
Lineage: Eukaryota; Metazoa; Mollusca; Cephalopoda; Sepiida; Sepiidae
Source: the annotation of a GenBank genome assembly
ACAGCCAUAUCACAUGGAAACACUGGUUCCUGUAUGAUCACUAAAGUUAAAUAACAUUGAGCCUGGUCAGUACCUAGGUGGGUGAUCACCUGGGAAUACCAGGUGCUGUG